AUUGAACGCUGGCGGCAGGCCUAACACAUGCAAGUCGAGCGAGCGGCGGACGGGUGAGUAAUGUCUGGGUAACUGCCUGAUGGAGGGGGGUAACUACUGGGAAAGGUAGCUAAUACCGCAUACUAUUAGAUUUGCCCAGGUGGGAUUAGCUGGUAGGUGGGGUAACGGCCCAACUAGGCGACGAUCCCUCGCUGGUCAGCUAGGAUGACCAGCCACAUUGGAACUGAGAAACGGUCCAGACCCCUACGGGAGGCAGCAGUGGGGAAUAUUGGACAAUGGGCGCAAGCCUGAUGCGGCCAUGCCGCGUGUGUGAAGAAGGCCUUCGGGUUGUAAGGCACUUUCAUCGGGGAGGCGGUACCCACAGAAGAAGCACCGGCUAACUCCGUGCCAGCAGCCGCGGUAAUUC
Molecule: ribosomal RNA, 406 nt
Filed under: uncultured bacterium
Lineage: Bacteria
Description: partial 16S ribosomal RNA
Rfam family: Bacterial small subunit ribosomal RNA
Source: RNAcentral